AACGAGACCUUAACCUUCUAAAUAGUCAGGCUGGCUUUUGCUGGUCGCAGACUUCUUAGAGGGACUGUCAGUGUCUAACUGACGGAAGUUUGAGGCAAUAACAGGUUUGUGAUGCCCUUAGAUGUUCUGGGCCGCACGCGCGCUACCCUGACAGAGCCAGCGAGUAUCUCCUAUGCCGGAAGGUCUGGGUAAUCUUGUGAAACUCU
RNAcentral lists this ribosomal RNA (206 nucleotides) under Pseudobaeospora celluloderma. RNAcentral describes it as "partial small subunit ribosomal RNA". It matches the Rfam family "Eukaryotic small subunit ribosomal RNA", at positions 1334 to 1563 of the family's 1831-position model. The record is from RNAcentral. Lineage: Eukaryota; Fungi; Basidiomycota; Agaricomycetes; Agaricales; Tricholomataceae.